This 74-nucleotide transfer RNA is filed under the name Gammaproteobacteria bacterium. RNAcentral describes it as "tRNA-Arg". It matches the Rfam family "tRNA". From Rfam's summary of the family: Transfer RNA (tRNA) molecules are approximately 80 nucleotides in length. Their secondary structure includes four short double-helical elements and three loops (D, anti-codon, and T loops). Further hydrogen bonds mediate the characteristic L-shaped molecular structure. tRNAs have two regions of fundamental functional importance: the anti-codon, which is responsible for specific mRNA codon recognition, and the 3' end, to which the tRNAs corresponding amino acid is attached (by aminoacyl-tRNA synthetases). tRNAs cope with the degeneracy of the genetic code in two manners: having more than one tRNA (with a specific anti-codon) for a particular amino acid; and 'wobble' base-pairing, i.e. permitting non-standard base-pairing at the 3rd anti-codon position. The record is from RNAcentral. Lineage: Bacteria; Pseudomonadati; Pseudomonadota; Gammaproteobacteria.
GCCCUGGUAGCUCAGUCGGAUAGAGCGAUCGCCUCCUAAGCGAUAGGCCGCAGGUUCGAAUCCUGCUCAGGGCA